GUGGGGAAUUUUGGACAAUGGGCGCAAGCCUGAUCCAGCAAUGCCGCGUGCAGGAAGAAGGCCUUCGGGUUGUAAACUGCUUUUGUACGGAACGAAACGGUCCGGGUUAAUACCCUGGGCUAAUGACGGUACCGUAAGAAUAAGCACCGGCUAACUACGUGCCAGCAGCCGCGGUAAUACGUAGGGUGCGAGCGUUAAUCGGAAUUACUGGGCGUAAAGCGUGCGCAGGCGGUGCUGUAAGACAGGCGUGAAAUCCCCGGGCUCAACCUGGGAAUUGCGCUUGGGACUGCAGUGCUGGAGUGCGGCAGAGGGGGAUGGAAUUCCGCGUGUAGCAGUGAAAUGCGUAGAUAUGCGGAGGAACACCGAUGGCGAAGGCAAUCCCCUGGGCCUGCACUGACGCUCAUGCACGAAAGCGUGGGGAGCAAACAGGAUUAGAUACCCCUGUAGUCC
RNAcentral lists this ribosomal RNA (450 nucleotides) under uncultured bacterium. Its description in RNAcentral is "partial 16S ribosomal RNA". It matches the Rfam family "Bacterial small subunit ribosomal RNA", at positions 354 to 796 of the family's 1533-position model. The record is from RNAcentral.